Molecule: small nuclear RNA, 107 nt
Filed under: Cebus imitator (Panamanian white-faced capuchin)
Lineage: Eukaryota; Metazoa; Chordata; Mammalia; Primates; Cebidae
Source: RNAcentral
GUGCUCGCCUCUACAGCACAUAUGCUAAAAUUGGAAUGACACAGAGAAGAUUAGCAUGGCCCCUGUGCAAUGAUGACACACAAAUUUGUGAUGCGUUCCAUAUUUGA